GAUGAAGAACGUAGCGAAAUGCGAUACGUAAUGUGAAUUGCAGAAUUCAGUGAAUCAUCGAGUCUUUGAACGCACAUUGCGCCCCCUGGUAUUCCGGGGGGCAUGCCUGUCCGAGCGUCAUUGCUGCCCUCAAGCACGGCUUGUGUGUUGGGCCUCCGUCCUCCUCCCGGGGGACGGGCCCGAAAGGCAGCGGCGGCACCGCGUCCGGUCCUCGAGCGUAUGGGGCUUCGUCACCCGCUCUUGUAGGCCCGGCCGGCGCUUGCCGUCACAUCAAUCUUUUUUCCAGGUUGACCUCGGAUCAGGUAGGGAUACCCGCUGAACUUAAGCAUAUCAAUAAGCGGAGGA
RNAcentral lists this unclassified non-coding RNA (345 nucleotides) under soil metagenome. RNAcentral's name for it is "partial contains 5.8S ribosomal RNA, internal transcribed spacer 2, and large subunit ribosomal RNA". The stretch from base 1 to 120 matches the Rfam family "5.8S ribosomal RNA", at positions 35 to 154 of the family's 154-position model. The record is from RNAcentral.